Long non-coding RNA from Drosophila albomicans, 852 nucleotides. RefSeq lists it as uncharacterized. Lineage: Eukaryota; Metazoa; Arthropoda; Insecta; Diptera; Drosophilidae. The transcript is spliced from 4 exons. The record is from RefSeq and is a predicted model, not a curated record.
CAAAACAACAACAAAUUUUGAGUGAUGCCGGUUUGCUUACGCACCGGUUGAAAGGACAUUUCGGCUAUCUGAGACGCUGCCUGAGAUAGCCGAACGCCAUUCGUGUUUGCAUCGGAAAUAGCACAAGACUACAUAGUAACAUGGCUAACUUACAAAACUGAGGAAAGCUGCGUGCGACAGAAACGAAACUAAGGAAAAUGGAAACGGAAACCGAAACAAAAAUCGAAAUGGAAAUCAUAAGAGAAUGAGGCACUGCUAAGUAAAAAAGGAAAAACUAUAGAUGUUUAGAAAGUGUUCGAGUAUAAUGACAGUUUCGUAUAAUCCAGUUUUGAACACGCCAAUCAUGGCCGGAUCAAUGUAUGUCUCGGGUCCUCGCUUAUCCUGGCGCCCUGCAAGCAAAACACUUUCCAUUACUUCUCCGUUAAGCAAACAUUAACUGCGUGUGUGUGUGUGUGUUUGGGUGUCCACACCGACCUUUGCACUCGACGGAGCCAUCCUUGCCCCAGAUGGGCGACAUCUCGAACCGACAAAUGCAACGUCCGUCUCGGCAUUCCGUCUGAAAGUAAACCGCUUCACAUUGCUCGUUGAAGAAACAGGAUUCGUUAACAGCAGACGCUAAAGACGGGAAAGAUAGGAGAUAAGAGGGGAAAAAUACUAUAACACGUGGACAAGUUUUACUUGUUUUACGAGUGUCCGAAAUGGGGUCGACCCAAUGGCAAUGGCAGACAGACAAAUAUUUUUAUUGGUCAAACUAUAGGCGCACAAUGAGGUCAACGAAUGACACCCACACACUACAUAAAUAAUUGUAUUUUUAAUAUUAUGGCAUGUGUGUAAAUGUCGGAUGAAUUUUAC